GCGUCGGUAGCUCAGUCGGUAGAGCAGGGGACUGAAAAUCCCCGUGUCGGUGGUUCGAUUCCGCCCCGGCGCACCA
This 76-nucleotide transfer RNA is filed under the name Candidatus Sumerlaeota bacterium. RNAcentral describes it as "tRNA-Phe". It matches the Rfam family "tRNA". Rfam says of the family: Transfer RNA (tRNA) molecules are approximately 80 nucleotides in length. Their secondary structure includes four short double-helical elements and three loops (D, anti-codon, and T loops). Further hydrogen bonds mediate the characteristic L-shaped molecular structure. tRNAs have two regions of fundamental functional importance: the anti-codon, which is responsible for specific mRNA codon recognition, and the 3' end, to which the tRNAs corresponding amino acid is attached (by aminoacyl-tRNA synthetases). tRNAs cope with the degeneracy of the genetic code in two manners: having more than one tRNA (with a specific anti-codon) for a particular amino acid; and 'wobble' base-pairing, i.e. permitting non-standard base-pairing at the 3rd anti-codon position. The record is from RNAcentral. Lineage: Bacteria; Candidatus Sumerlaeota.